AAUAUAGUGCAACUAGAAAUGUAUGUAGUUGAAAAAUAUAGUAGUUAUAAUUGUAUACAUACUUUUGACUGAAUGUAAUAUAAAGCGCUGUUACUGAAAAUCAUUUAUUUGCUUAUACGUGUCGGAUCGUUGGCCUAACCAUUAAUCCCAAAAGCUCGAGCUGCUAGAAAUACGCAACCAAUUCACUUAAAGCGUACAGAAACAGCGCUCACGGGUCUCGAUUGUGAUUCGGCCCACCUGGCCUCACGCCACUUCGAACAUGACUCGGCCCAACCCAGCCUCACGCCAUUUCGAACAUGACUCGGCCCACAUAGCCUUCCGCCACAGGGCAGGAUGCUGGCAUAUUUAAGCCAACAAUACGUAGUCAUGGAAAUGUAAGAUUAUC
RNAcentral lists this long non-coding RNA (385 nucleotides) under Ananas comosus (pineapple). Its description in RNAcentral is "long non-coding RNA (ACOM_LNC000221)". Lineage: Eukaryota; Viridiplantae; Streptophyta; Magnoliopsida; Poales; Bromeliaceae. The record is from RNAcentral.